This 375-nucleotide ribosomal RNA is filed under the name uncultured eukaryote. RNAcentral's name for it is "partial 18S ribosomal RNA". It matches the Rfam family "Eukaryotic small subunit ribosomal RNA", at positions 592 to 976 of the family's 1831-position model. The record is from RNAcentral.
CAAUAGCGUAUAUUUAAGUUGUUGCAGUUAAAAAGCUCGUAGUUGGAUUUCGGUUAAGAGCGACCGGUCCGCCGUUUGGUGUGCACUGGUUGGUUUUAACUUCCUGUCGAGGACGUGCUCUGGGUUUAACGACCUGGACUCGGAGUCUACGUGGUUACUUUGAAAAAAUUAGAGUGUUCAAAGCGGGCUUACGCUUGAAUAUUUCAGCAUGGAAUAACACUAUAGGACUCCUGUCCUAUUUCGUUGGUCUCGGGACGGGAGUAAUGAUUAAGAGGAACAGUUGGGGGCAUUCGUAUUUCAUUGUCAGAGGUGAAAUUCUUGGAUUUAUGAAAGACGAACUUCUGCGAAAGCAUUUGCCAAGGAUGUUUUCAUUAA